GGCCAAAGGUGUCCAAACUAUACAGACCCACAGAAUCUAACAACAGAUGUCUCAAUAUUCCUCGUCCUAGAACUCUCAGAGGAUCCAGAACUACAGCCGGUCCUCGCUGGGCUGUUCCUGUCCAUGUGCCUGGUCAUGGUGCUGGGGAACCUGCUCAUCAUCCUGGCCGUCAGCCCUGACUCCCACCUCCACACCCCCAUGUACUUCUUCCUCUCCAACCUGUCCUUGCCUGACAUCGGUUUCACCUCCACCAUGGUCCCCAAGAUGA
This 268-nucleotide long non-coding RNA is filed under the name Homo sapiens (human). Its description in RNAcentral is "non-protein coding lnc-NUCB2-7:3". Lineage: Eukaryota; Metazoa; Chordata; Mammalia; Primates; Hominidae. The record is from RNAcentral.